UUUUUAAUUAAUUAUUAGCCCUAUGCGUUUGGGUAUUCGGGUCGGGUAUUUCGGGUUCGGGUUUUCGGGUUUAGAAGUUUAGGACCCGUUCGGGUAAUUUAAGAUUUUGGGUCGGGUUCGGUUUGGGUUCGGGUUUGGGUUCGAGUUUAUUUAUAUAUUGAAAUAUGAAAUUUUGUGUGCAAAUUUAUUAAAUUACUUGAAAAUUUCAAAAAUUCCCAAAACAACACGAGUAGUUUUGCUUGAAUAUAUCUAAAAAUACACAAAAAUCACUAAAAUAUCCAAAAAAAUCCUAAUAUUUUUUAUAUAUAAGUAUAAAUAUAACUAAUAUAUACUUAUAUUUGAGAUAUGUUUGGAUACCUAUUCGGGUUCGGGUUCAAAUUUUUCGGGUUUUGAAGUUUAGACCCGUUCGAGUAUUUGAAAAUUUCGGGUACACCCGCCUAAAUAGGCGGGCCUAGUAAUAUAUGUAGUCAAUAAUCUAUUUAUAACUUAGGUAUAUAAGGAAAGCUAU
RNAcentral lists this small RNA (508 nucleotides) under Arabidopsis thaliana (thale cress). RNAcentral's name for it is "ATSL140470". The record is from RNAcentral. Lineage: Eukaryota; Viridiplantae; Streptophyta; Magnoliopsida; Brassicales; Brassicaceae.